This 492-nucleotide ribosomal RNA is filed under the name uncultured bacterium. RNAcentral describes it as "partial 16S ribosomal RNA". It matches the Rfam family "Bacterial small subunit ribosomal RNA", at positions 29 to 507 of the family's 1533-position model. The record is from RNAcentral.
AGUGAACGCUGGCGGUAGGCCUAACACAUGCAAGUCGAACGGCAGCACAGUAAGAGCUUGCUCUUACGGGUGGCGAGUGGCGGACGGGUGAGAAAUACAUCGGAAUCUACUUUUUCGUGGGGGAUAACGUAGGGAAACUUACGCUAAUACCGCAUACGACCUACGGGUGAAAGCAGUGGAUCUUCGCACCUUGCGCGUUUGAAUGAGCCGAUGUCGGAUUAGCUAGUUGGCGGGGUAAGGGCUCACCAAGGCGACGAUCCGUAGCUGGUCUGAGAGGAUGAUCAGCCACACUGGAACUGAGACACGGUCCAGACUCCUACGGGAGGCAGCAGUGGGGAAUAUUGGACAAUGGGCGCAAGCCUGAUCCAGCCAUACCGCGUGGGUGAAGAAGGCCUUCGGGUUGUAAAGCUCUGUUGUUGGGAAAGAAAAGCAGCAGGUGAAUACAUCGAUGUUCUGACGGUACCCAAAGAAUAAGCACCGGCUAACUUCGUG